GCCCCUGUAGUUUAAUUAAAAUUUUAAUUUUGUAAAUUAAAGAUGUCAUCCGGGGGCA
This 58-nucleotide transfer RNA is filed under the name Proasellus rectus. Its description in RNAcentral is "transfert RNA-T(ACA)". Lineage: Eukaryota; Metazoa; Arthropoda; Malacostraca; Isopoda; Asellidae. The record is from RNAcentral.